AAAUAACUUUCAAAUGUUAUUCUAAUUUAUGAGUUGCUGCUACAUCGAUCUUCCUACUGAAAACAAAAAUAUCUGUUGCUGACAUCUACCAAAAAGUGAAUUUUUUCCCCAAAUUGAGCUGAGUCCACCUGUUUUGGUAAUGAGUUAGAGAAAUAUAUUCUGUUCUUUUUUAGAAGCUCCAUCAGAGUGGAAGACAUUUAUGAACUAUAUAAAUGUCUCAUUAGACUCCGUCUCAAAAAAAAAAAAGAAAUGUCUCAUUAAUUUUUAGUUAUUGGUUUCUCAUUCUAUGACCCAGAGUCAUGAAAAUUUCAGAAAACCACAGGUUAUUUGUUGAGUGUUCAAAUUGCAUAAUUAAAUAACUGUCAUUGUUGGGAAAGGAGAAUGAUAUGGAAGACAUAGCCCACACUUGGCUCUUGAAAAGUUUACCACUGAACUGAGCUAACAGAUAAAACUUCAUCAAUUUCUUAUCACUGAACCUGAGGGUUACACACAGCUGCACACAUCCUUGCUCUGUAACUCUUUCUGUGAGAGAGGACAUGUGUAACUUCCUAUCUAAGGUCAAUCCCUUUAUCCCUCUUCUGAGAGCUGCAAUGGAGAUCCAGAACACAGUGGAAGAAUAUAUUGAAAUAUGUGUAUCUAAGGUGUUCUAUAAAUUCUCAUUUCAAUGGGCUGUCCCUUAGAUAACCAACACUCAUAUGUUGUUUCAUUUCUCAAUGCAUCUUACUGUGUUCCAUAUUACUUUGAGUCUAAUGGAAUGUACCAGCUUAAAUGGAGACUGUAUCUCUGCCUUUAUUACUAGAUCUGGUUGAUAUUGUUGUUAUCUGGAGUUUGAGAACUCUCUUCCCUUAUCAGGUGAGCUGCAUAAAUAAAAUGGUAUUU
This 879-nucleotide long non-coding RNA is filed under the name Homo sapiens (human). RNAcentral's name for it is "long non-coding RNA NONHSAT167555". Lineage: Eukaryota; Metazoa; Chordata; Mammalia; Primates; Hominidae. The record is from RNAcentral.